RNAcentral lists this ribosomal RNA (220 nucleotides) under uncultured bacterium. RNAcentral's name for it is "partial 16S ribosomal RNA". It matches the Rfam family "Bacterial small subunit ribosomal RNA", at positions 1281 to 1500 of the family's 1533-position model. The record is from RNAcentral.
CUAGGUCUCAGUUCAGAUUGCAGGCUGCAACCCGCCUGCAUGAAGUCGGAAUCGCUAGUAAUCGCGGAUCAGCAUGCCGCGGUGAAUACGUUCCCGGGCCUUGUACACACCGCCCGUCACACCAUGAGAGUUUGUAACACCCAAAGCCGGUGGGGUAACCUUUUGGAGCCAGCCGUCUAAGGUGGGACAGAUGAUUGGGGUGAAGUCGUAACAAGGUACC